This 202-nucleotide ribosomal RNA is filed under the name uncultured bacterium. RNAcentral describes it as "partial 16S ribosomal RNA". It matches the Rfam family "Bacterial small subunit ribosomal RNA", at positions 524 to 725 of the family's 1533-position model. The record is from RNAcentral.
UACGUAGGGUGCAAGCGUUGUCCGGAAUUAUUGGGCGUAAAGAGCUCGUAGGCGGUCUGUCGCGUCUGCUGUGAAAACUCAGGGCUUAACCCUGAGCUUGCAGUGGGUACGGGCAGACUAGAGUGCGGUAGGGGAGACUGGAAUUCCUGGUGUAGCGGUGAAAUGCGCAGAUAUCAGGAGGAACACCGGUGGCGAAGGCGGG